GGAACUCGUAAAUUAGUUUGACUGAAUCAUCGCAUAAUUUAUAUACUCAUGUGCCACGUUUUAAUUUAAAUAACAGCUGAAGUUGUUAAAAUUUCUUUUAAUAUUGAAUUAUGACUACAAACUCUUUUAGUUUGCAGUCACAAUAUAUGUAUGAAAGCUAAUUGCUGUGCAAUUAUGGUCGAUUAUGCUUGUAGCCUGUUUGAAUGUAUAGAUAUGUUUUAUUUGUUUUAAUAAUUCACCCACUGUCACACUAAAUACCUUUGAUUAACAAAAAAUGCACAUGAGAAUCAAGUUUAAGAUGAAUUUAAUUUUCAAUCGAAAUUAUUCGUGUUUCACAAUGAAUAUGUAAAAAGAAAAUAUAAAUCCACUCGUCUGAAUAAUCAUAUGUACAUAUAUAAAAUCUAUGACAAGAUCAACGGCGAUCAGACUGCGAUCCAAUUUAAGUAUAGUUGCGGUAGCGAAGUGGACCGGGUGAUGACGACGGGGCGCAGUAUGUCAGCGAAAGUUUGUAGCGAAUUUUAAUGUGCGAAUGUUGAUGUGCGGCUUGUGAAGAUCGAAUGGUCCGCUUUCCCUUUUGCCCAUCCUUUUUGUUGAGUGGAUUGAUUGAUGUGGAAGUUUGGUGAGUUGUGUUGAGUUGUAUUGUAUUAGUGUGGAGACCGCUUGCUGGGUGAUGUUCUCAAUUGCGGUGUGAUAUAUAGCGGGAUUCUGUAACCAGUCUCUAGUCUCUAUUUGAGACAUUUUGAGGUAAAGUCUCAAUUUGAGACUAGUUACUAUUCACAAUACAGUCUCAGUCUCUAGUCUCAAAACAUAGCCUUAAAUUAUGUCAGCUGGUAAUAAGCAGGUCACAAACGUAUUAAGAUAAUAGAAAAUAAGCAAUGGACGAAGAAGUUAAUUUUACAAACUUAUAAAAAUUAAGAAAGGUAAGUAUUGUUUAAUAGCAAUGAAUAUAAAAAUAUUAAUAAUUUCUUUCAAUUAGAAUUGCAAACAGGAGGAAUUUGGCGCACUUAAGGAAUAGUGAGGAUCCAUUUUUAUUGGAGGAAGGAAUAUUUAGAUAAUAUUUUCGUUUUCCGAAAUCAUUGUGUUGGGACCUUAUGCAGGAUUUGAAACCUCACGAUAAUCGCUUCCGAAAGUCUGCUAUUCCUUUUGAGAUUCGGUUCGUUUCAGUGCUAUAUUUCUUUUCAUUCAAAUAGCCAUUUAUCUGCCAUGAGCCAACAUAGCAUAUCCCGAAUUAUAAGGCAUAUAUGCAAACUUGUGUUGGAACACAAAAAUGUGGAAAUAAGCUUCCCAAAUGCAACAGAGCACUACAACACAAUUAAAAUGGGUGCUAUUGACUGCACCCAUGUUGCUAUAAUUGGACCAUCUUCGUCGUCUAACGUUAUUCCACAUGAAUACCUGAACCGAAAUGGUUACUACAGUAUUAACGUAGAAGCGCUAGGUUAAAAUAUUAAUUUAAUUUAAAUAAUAUAUGUAUAUAUGAAUUUUAGAUUUGUGACGACAAACUUAUUUUUCGCAAUUUAAAUGCUCGUUUUCCUAGCUCAUGCCAUGACUCCGGAAUUUGGAGAACAUCACCGGCCAGAAUAAAAUUAUUAAGGGAACAUGUUUCUAGUUCAUUUAAGUAGUUUCUAGGUGACUCAGGAUAUCCACUAGAGCCAUGGCUUUUGACUCCUAUAUCAAACCCAUCUGCACCAAAUGAAGUUCUUUAUAACAUAAUCCAUAUAAAGGCCAGAAACAUAAUUGAAAGGGCCUUUGGUGUUUUAAAGUCUCGUUUCCGUUGCUUAUCUAAAGAGCGAGUACUGAGGUAUACACCCUCAAACGCCGCGUUCUCAGUUUAUACUUGCUCAAUUUUCCACAACAUUUUGCAAAAACAUGGUAUUUGUGACUUCGAUGAAAUCGACAUUGAAAACUUUGAAGACUCUUCCUUGAAUGAUAAUUCUCCAGCUCAAACAAAUCAGUAUUACAAUGCAGGAAUAAAUGCACGACGUAACUGCUUAAAUUCUCUCACACAAUCUUUGUAAAUAAAUACCUUUAAAAAUAAAUCUUUUAUUUAUAUUUUCACAAAAAAUUAAUAAAUUCGUUUAUUCAGUCUAUGUAUGUACAUAAUAAUCAUUAAUAGGAACAUAAAAAUAAUUUAACUUAUUCAGUCUUUUUUUAUAUGUAUGUACAUUAUAUACAUUAAUAGGAACUUAAAAAUAUCUUCUUAACUCAAACAAUUUUUUUUUAUAACAGCUUCUGAUAGCUUUAAAAUAGCACUUGCCAUAUUAUUCAAAGAGUCCGCAACAUUUUGGAAGCAUUGUUGUGAUGUCUCUCUAAAUUUCGCCUCUCUUCGCUCCUCUUCUUCAUUGUAGCAAUCAUGUCAGCAAACAUUUCUUGAGAAGUCUGCCUUCGAGAUCGUGAAGUUGAUGGCAUCUCACUUAC
Long non-coding RNA from Bactrocera dorsalis (oriental fruit fly), 2415 nucleotides. RefSeq lists it as uncharacterized. Lineage: Eukaryota; Metazoa; Arthropoda; Insecta; Diptera; Tephritidae. The record is from RefSeq and is a predicted model, not a curated record. The transcript is spliced from 3 exons.